This 372-nucleotide ribosomal RNA is filed under the name uncultured organism. RNAcentral's name for it is "partial 16S ribosomal RNA". It matches the Rfam family "Bacterial small subunit ribosomal RNA", at positions 527 to 896 of the family's 1533-position model. The record is from RNAcentral.
GUAGGUGGCAAGCGUUGUCCGGAAUUAUUGGGCGCAAAGCGCGCGCAGGCGGUUCUUUAAGUCUGAUGUGAAAGCCCACGGGCUCAACCGUGGAGGGUCAUUGGAAACUGGAGAACUUGAGUACAGAAGAGGAAAGCGGAAUUCCACGUGUAGCGGUGAAAUGCGUAGAGAUGUGGAGGAACACCAGUGGCGAAGGCGGCUUUCUGGUCUGUAACUGACGCUGAGGCGCGAAAGCGUGGGGAGCAAACAGGAUUAGAUACCCUGGUAGUCCACGCCGUAAACGAUGAGUGCUAAGUGUUAGGGGGUUUCCGCCCCUUAGUGCUGCAGCUAACGCAUUAAGCACUCCGCCUGGGGAGUACGGCCGCAAGGCUG